CGUAGGAAAAAUAUGAGUUUUCAAACCUUUUUCCUGCCAAUUGACUGAAUCCGUUUGGAAAAUGUUAUGGAUGAUACAAAUAUAUUUAUUGAUAGUAGCAAGUGUUUAUGACGAGCAAUCUCAAACAUACAUCUCCAAACCAAGACACACCAUGUAAUCUUCUAGUUGACCACUUAGCUAAAACUGACGUUGGUAGCUAGCUACUGGAAGUUAGCUACAUGGGUCGUUUUUAAACUGUGACUUUAGCCGCUAGAAAGCAAAAUAGGACGAUGAUGAUGCCGGAUACGUAUUGUGUUUAUUAUCAGCAUUGAUCGAUUGUAUGACGCUAUUUAGAACACGCCCUGUCCAUGUGUUCCUGAAUGUAGCACUGCACCCGGAUGUAGUGGGUGACUAAGCUAAUGAUCAUGUUGCUAGCCCAGUUUGGUAUCUCGAGCAUCGAACGUUAUAUGUUGACGAUUAUGUGAUUUAUAGCUAGAUAGAGAACUUGGAUGCAGAUUGCAAGCGUGUCUCAUUUUAACCUGUGCGCUUGGGUCAUUUUGGUGAGAAAGCCUGGGAAUCAGCGCUACUGCGGUAGGAACCCGGGAGAAGCUGGAUAACCCGGGAGAGACCCUGAACUGACACCCCAGCUACCACCGACCUACCAUGCCCCUGAUCGUGGAUGCUGUGUGGGCCGUGUGGAGCAUCGGGGCGGGGGUCUAUGACUACUUCCACACCAGUGCCAUGGAGGAACGCAUCGGCAACCUGGAGAGCGUCCUCACCAUCCACCAGUGUGUCAUAGCAGCCCUUUCCGCAGGCCUCGUCCUCCUCAUGACCUACAUACUGUGGAGAAAACACUGAAGCCAUGGUCGUAUUCAGACAGUGAGAUGGCCCCGGGGGAAAGUUUCCCCUAGGUACAGAUCUUGGAUCAUUUCCCCCUCCCUCAAUCCUAUCUGUAACCAGUAGUGGGGAAAAUACUAAACUGACCCAAGAUCAGCAUCUAGGGGCAACUUCACCCUAUUCCAGCGGAGAUGGGAGAUGAGACGGUCCUAGAUACUCCAGACCUAAGGACUGCAUUACGGCUAGCGUCGGCUACUCACCAGACUAACAGCCAGUCCCAAAUCACUCCCUAACCCUCCCCCAUUGUCUUAUGUCAUAUCAUGCGAUGACUGUCAGUUUAGGGACGGGGCAUCGUGUAGGAGUGACGCCACUUAGCAUAAGAUAAUGACCUUGGCCCCUAACCCUUGGGUGUUGGCAGAUCUGAAGGGUCUUGAUAAGUAUAAGCAGAUAGGUAUAAGCAGUGUAAUGCUGGAUCAUCACAUUACUACUACUACUACUGGAGCUCAACAGACAGUCUGCAACCCCUCCCUAGUCCUUCCCCUCGGCCCUGACCAUCAAAGAACGGUCUGGAUAGGUAUGACAACUGGGUAGGUAUAGGAUUCUGUUUCAUCAAAGCACUACUAUUGGAAGAUGAGCUCAAGAGACCAUGAGGAGUUGCUUGUGGAAGCUUCCUGGUGGAAAGUAGUCCUGGUAUACAGUACAAAGGCUCUAUUAGAGCUUGUUGGAGUAGUCACCCCUCCAAGUCUCGUUUGUCACUCUGCUGUUACUUGGAACGGGAUUGAGAGGAAGUCUGGGAGCUGAGGGUAGCUGGAGAGGGGCUCUUCAAUCUGAGAGCUUGAGUGCCGUGAUGACUGUAGCCUGGUCCCAGAUCUGUUUGUGCUAUCGUGUCAACUCCUUGCCAUGCCAAACAUGGAAUUGACAUGAUAGCACAAACAGAUCUGGGACCAGUCUAUCAUGACUGGCUGUGAUCAGAAAACACUGUAUUUUGCUACUGUGUGGAUACUGACGUCUAGCCUGGUCCCUGAUCUGUUUGUGCUGUCUUGCCAACAAUGACCGUAAUGACCGUAGGAGUGGGCAAGACCAUACAAACAGAUCUAGGACCAGGCUGACUCCUGGCCACUUGUUUAAUUUAAAACUAUCAUCCAUUGAAUGUGAUUGAUUCAUGUUGGUACUUUAUAUUGCCGAAAGGGAUUUGUGAAACAUGACUUCCGUCCAUGUGACUGUAGAAUGAGCCUACAUAAUAAUGACACUGUUGGGACUUAACAUUAUAAACCGCUUUCCCACACACAGAUUAAGCCUAGUCCUAGAAUAAAAAGCAUGGUCAAUGGAGAAUCUCUAUUAAAAGUGAUUUAUUAUUUUUUUAGCCCAGGACUAGACUUAAACUGUCUGAAACCUUCCAUGUAAGAGAAAGAUAACACCUUUUUAAGUUACUGUCCAGGUAAAAAAAAAAUACACGUUUCCAUGUCGAUGACACCUUUUAACGGUUUUCUCUGUAUUUGUACGUCAUAACAUCUCGUUUUUAAAAUCAUGCUUUUAUCAUUGUUGGAUCUGUUACCCGUCUACCUGGUUGACUAAUAUCAUGUCUGUUGGCCAUUGUUGUCGACUCAAGUGCUACUGUGUGUAUUUUGCUGAAUCACUACCUGGUUGUUGGUUUCUAUGUGAACAAAAGGCAUUAAUGUCAGGUUAAUAAAUAAUGUGAUUAACUCUG
Salvelinus fontinalis (brook trout) is the source of this 2524-nucleotide long non-coding RNA. RefSeq lists it as uncharacterized. The record is from RefSeq and is a predicted model, not a curated record. The transcript is spliced from 2 exons. Lineage: Eukaryota; Metazoa; Chordata; Actinopteri; Salmoniformes; Salmonidae.